UGGACAGAAUGUGCUGUAAUGUGCUUUGAUUGGAGGAGCUUAUCAAUGAGUAAUUGGCUUUAAAUGUAGAUAUAUUUCCACUAUGCGCUUUGGUGAACUGAAUACCUCUGAAAGAUCCAUAGCGGGCAUUUCCUGUUGCAUCAGAGGACAGUUGGGGGAUUAAAGCAGCAGAUAGCCUGAAGGAUUUGCUUAAUGGAGGGGUGGAGAAUGAAAAGCCCAUAAGCGAAGCGCAGGACAGAGAGAGAAAGGCUUACCAGCAGAGAAAGAGAGAGCGAGGUCCGGGACAGAAUAUCCAUUCAGGUAGUUCGACAACAUGUUGCACCCCAUCAUGGUUGGCAUUGUCUGUGUAAACACCUCCAUGACCAUCAUCUUCUGGGUCUUCAUGCUCAGUGAAGCCUUCCUUAGGGUAGGGGAUCCAGAGCCCAAAGCCACCGUCAAUCCAGCCUAGAUUAGCGUAGCAAUGCAAACGACCACAGAGAAACCCAAAAACAGCUUAUGUAGCUCGUAGUGCUCUUGUGAUCUUCGUUUUCUCAGGGGGUGAAGUUUUCUCUACGCACCAUUUAUUUGAGCUCCCGCCCUACACCCUUCUUUCUCACACCUCGCUGAUGCCAGUGGAGCAGAAGCUGACCUCCAGCUGUUCUCCCUUUCCUUUCCGGUUCCUGGGCCUGCACUCAUUCCAAGGCCUUCUCUUUUCCAUUAACUGGGUGACUGUCCGAUCGGUAACCACGAAAUAAAGAGACUGGAAAUAGCACGACAAUAUAUUCAGGCCGCAAAGGGGAAAUGGUGGCAGCGAUAACAGGGAAAAGUCCACGGAUAUAAGCUAAGAGCUCCCUGCUGAUCCUGGGUGUGGAGCGGCUCGAGCGCUGAAGACUGGAUUCUUGGGCCCCAAAGUGAUGAAGAGGAUGAUGAAUGUGGCCCCUGUGGAGAGGAAGAAAGAGAAGGGGAAGAAGGGAUGACAGACGGAUCCGGAGAGGAAUUGAAGAUGGAAUUAGAGAGUCCUGGAGCUCAGCAGGGUUGUUCGAUGCUCCUGCUCCCUGGCCAUGUAUCUCCAUAGCACAGUCGCACAGAGAAGAGAAUGGACCUGAACAACAAACACUUAGCCUAGUCCUAUCAGCAUUUGACACCACCUAAAUCUCUCUAUUUAACUCUGGCCCAUUAAAAAUACAUUAAUCUGUGCAUUACACUACCAUAGAGGUAGCCUGAAGUUCAGUUUCAUAGGGGCCUCUAAAGUAUGUGGAAUUUUUGAUCUGAAAACAUUUGUAAAGAAUUUUAUAAAGGAAUUAUUAUAUUGUUUCUUAUUUUAUACACUGAUAUGUGUAAAUAUGACUAGAUCUCAGCUUCAGAACUUUUUAUCAAACACAUACCUGUUCCAUGACAGCUUACAUUGUGGCUAACAUGCCAGGCUGUACAAGAAAAAGCACAUUUUAUGUAAGCAUGUGUUACUUGGGCCAGACGCACAUAAUUCUGCAUAGACAGUUGUAUGCAUUAACUAAAGAAUAUUAGUCUUGUACAUC
Anguilla anguilla (European eel) is the source of this 1514-nucleotide long non-coding RNA. RefSeq lists it as uncharacterized. The record is from RefSeq and is a predicted model, not a curated record. NCBI's taxonomy places the organism in Eukaryota, Metazoa, Chordata, Actinopteri, Anguilliformes, Anguillidae. The transcript has 3 exons.